AGAGUUUGAUCCUGGCUCAGAUUGAACGCUGGCGGCAUGCUUUACACAUGCAAGUCGAACGGCAGCACGGGGGCAACCCUGGUGGCGAGUGGCGAACGGGUGAGUAAUGCAUCGGAACGUAUCUUCGAGUGGGGGAUAACGCACCGAAAGGUGUGCUAAUACCGCAUAAUCUCCAUGGAGAAAAGCAGGGGAUCGCAAGA
Molecule: ribosomal RNA, 200 nt
Filed under: uncultured bacterium
Lineage: Bacteria
Description: partial 16S ribosomal RNA
Rfam family: Bacterial small subunit ribosomal RNA
Source: RNAcentral